GCCCCCGUUGUCUAAUGGCUAUGACGUCAGACUUCUAGGGCAUUCCCUUCAUCUGGAGGUUGCGGGUUCGAGUCCCGCCGGGGGUA
Grifola frondosa (maitake) is the source of this 86-nucleotide non-coding RNA. The record is from Rfam. Lineage: Eukaryota; Fungi; Basidiomycota; Agaricomycetes; Polyporales; Grifolaceae.